CCUGGUGGUUAUGGCGGGGCGGCUGCACCCGUUCCCAUUCCGAACACGGCCGUGAAACGCCCCUGCGCCCAUGGUACUUCGUCUUAAGACGCGGGAGAGUAGGUCGCUGCCAGGUCUGCCAAACGCAACAAAC
RNAcentral lists this ribosomal RNA (133 nucleotides) under Rhizobium sp. BK376. Lineage: Bacteria; Pseudomonadati; Pseudomonadota; Alphaproteobacteria; Hyphomicrobiales; Rhizobiaceae. The record is from RNAcentral.